This 808-nucleotide non-coding RNA is filed under the name Aguriahana triangularis. The record is from RNAcentral. Lineage: Eukaryota; Metazoa; Arthropoda; Insecta; Hemiptera; Cicadellidae.
CGAUAGAUUUGUUUAUAAUUAAUUCUUGUAUCCCUAUAUACAAUAAUAUUAUAUACUUUAUUAUUAAUUGUAGUAUAAGUUUUAUUCUUGCUUUAAAUUGUUAAAUUUUUAUAUUAAUUAUAUGGUUUUUAUUUAAUUUUUUAUUUUCAGUAAUAAGUAUUAUCAAUUAAUUUUAUUUUUAUUAAGAUAUAUAAUUAUAUUAGAUUAAAAUUGUGCCAGCAUUCGCGGUUAUACAAUUUAUUUAAUUUAACAUUUUUAAGUUUUACUAAUUAAAUUAUUGUGAGUAAUUUAUUUUAAAAUUUAGGUGGAAUUUAUUUUAAAAUAAUAAUCUCUUUUUAAUUUUUAUUAAAUUUUAUUUUUUGACUAGGAUUAGAUACCCUAUUAUUUUUAAUUUAAUUAUUAAUUUGAAUAUUACCAGUUAGGUUCUGUUAAACUCAAAGAAUUUGGCGGUAAUUUAUUUUUUUAGAGGAAUUUGGUUUUUAAUUGAUAAACCACGAUAAAUUUAACUUUUUUUUUAUUCAUAUAUCUCUAUAAUUUGGAAUGUUUUUUUAAUAUAUUUUCUUUAUUUAUUUAAAAAAUUAUAUUAGGUCAAGGUGUGGUUUUGGAGAAGUAAAUUUGAAUUACUUUACUUAUAAAUAAUUUAGAUAUUUUAAAAAUUUUUAAAUUUAAAAUAGAAUUUAAUAGUAAAUAAAAAUAAUUAUUUUUAUUGAAUUUUACACUAAAUUAUGUACAUAUUGCCCGUCACUCUCAUUUAAGUUGAGAUAAGUCGUAACAAAGUAAUUUUACUGGAAAGUGAAGUUAGAAAGUC